CGAUGAAUCUCCUCCUCCUUCUGAAUCUCUGAUACUUUCAAGGCUGUCGAUUCUUCUAUUUUCGGAUGCGUUGCUGCUUCUAGGUGAAGAGCUUCCAUCGCUUGAUGAAGAGCUAUUUUUUCUAGUAUGAUUUGGAGCUGGUGGCUAUGCGCCUUCUUUGUCCUUCCCGAUCUUUCGAGAUUCGGUAUCGGAAUCUGAAGAUUCUGAAGAGGAAUCAUCGUCUCGAUUCUCCUCCUCAGGUUCGGGUUCUGGUUCCGGCGGAUAAGGGAGUGGACGAAGAUUCUCGUCUGGAACUGUGGAAAGGAAACUGAGAGCUGUCAUGACGUCGCCGAUCAGAGGACGGACUUCUGCUUCCUCUUGUAGACACAUGGCGGCGACGGCCACGGCCUGAUUCAGAUCUUUCUCCGGGAACAACCGCCCAAGGAGUGGAUCGGCCAGGUCUGGAAAUCUCUUUGGAUCUCGGAAAAAUGGUUGUGCCUGUUACGUAGCCAUGGCUUCAAAUAGGUCAAUUCUAGGGCAAAACAUAAGGAUAAUACCUCUAUAUUUGUCAAUGGCUUUUCUUCCAGUAAUGAGUUCGAGCAUAACAACUCCAAAGCUGUAAAUAUCAGACUUGGAAGUGAGCUGACCACCUCUUGUGUAUUCAGGAGCAGAGUAGCCGUAGGUCCCCAUGACCCUUGACGGCAAUGGCGACUUAUCACCACCGGGGCCAAGCUUCGCUAGCCCGAAAUCAGAAAGCUUUGGAUUGAAAUCUUCAUCAAGCAAGAUGUUUGAUGACUUCAAGUCUCUAAAUAUUAUGGGAGGAUCCGCCUGAUCAUGCAGGUAUUCCAAUCCUUUUGCAACUCCUGACGCCACCUUUAUACGAACAAACCAAUCCAUUGGCUUUCGAUCCUCUUUUAUGGCUGUCAAUAUUGAAGCAUAGUUCGAGACAUUUAAUAAUAUAUAAAAUUUUAGACAGUAGUUUCUCAAACUAGCUGGAAACAAGAAAGCACAUAAAAGAAUGGAAUAUAUGAACGUACAGACACAGUUCUAAUGGGAAUGAUACUGUCCUAAGAUUAUUUUCUCUAAGCAAUAGAAUAGUUAUUGAAUCCA
Long non-coding RNA from Cucumis melo (muskmelon), 1089 nucleotides. RefSeq lists it as uncharacterized. Lineage: Eukaryota; Viridiplantae; Streptophyta; Magnoliopsida; Cucurbitales; Cucurbitaceae. The transcript has 3 exons. The record is from RefSeq and is a predicted model, not a curated record.